GACGAACGCUGGCGGCGUGCUUAACACAUGCAAGUCGAACGGAAAGGCCCUGCUUUUGUGGGGUGCUCGAGUGGCGAACGGGUGAGUAACACGUGAGUAACCUGCCCUUGACUUUGGGAUAACUUCAGGAAACUGGGGCUAAUACCGGAUCGGAGCUCCUGCUGCAUGGUGGGGGUUGGAAAGUUUCGGCGGUUGGGGAUGGACUCGCGGCUUAUCAGCUUGUUGGUGGGGUAGUGGCUUACCAAGGCAUUGACGGGUAGCCGGCCUGAGAGGGUGACCGGCCACAUUGGGCCUAAGAGACGGACCAGACUCCUACGGGAGGCAGCAGUGGGGAGUAUUGCACAAUGGGCGGAAGCCUGAUGCAGCAACGCCGCGUGCGGGAUGACGGCCUUCGGGUUGUAAACCGCUUUCGCCUGUGACGAAGCGUGAGUGACGGUAAUGGGUAAAGAAGCACCGGCUAACUACGUG
RNAcentral lists this ribosomal RNA (468 nucleotides) under uncultured bacterium. Its description in RNAcentral is "partial 16S ribosomal RNA". It matches the Rfam family "Bacterial small subunit ribosomal RNA", at positions 28 to 507 of the family's 1533-position model. The record is from RNAcentral.